Molecule: non-coding RNA, 97 nt
Filed under: human gut metagenome
Description: NiCo riboswitch
Rfam family: NiCo (Nickel/Cobalt) riboswitch aptamer
Source: RNAcentral
ACAGUACAGACUGAGCAGGCGAUGAACCUUUUCCGAAAGGUCAUGGGGCCGGGCCGCAUUGCGGCAGCAGGUUGCAAUAUGCACAUCUGCGGGACAG